CCUACGGGAGGCAGCAGUGAGGAAUAUUGGUCAAUGGCCGCAGGGCUGAACCAGCCAAGUCGCGUGAGGGAUGACGGUCCUAUGGAUUGUAAACCUCUUUUGACAGGGAGCAAAGGGCGCCACGUGUGGCGCUUUGCGAGUACCUGAAGAAAAAGCAUCGGCUAACUCCGUGCCAGCAGCCGCGGUAAUACGGAGGAUGCGAGCGUUAUCCGGAUUUAUUGGGUUUAAAGGGUGCGCAGGCGGAAUGUCAAGUCAGCGGUAAAAUUUCGGGGCUCAACCCCGUCGUGCCGUUGAAACUGGCGUUCUUGAGUGAGCGAGAAGUAUGCGGAAUGCGUGGUGUAGCGGUGAAAUGCAUAGAUAUCACGCAGAACUCCGAUUGCGAAGGCAGCAUACCGGCGCUCAACUGACGCUCAUGCACGAAAGCGUGGGUAUCGAACAGGAUUAGAUACCCCGGUAGUC
Molecule: ribosomal RNA, 459 nt
Filed under: uncultured bacterium
Lineage: Bacteria
Description: partial 16S ribosomal RNA
Rfam family: Bacterial small subunit ribosomal RNA
Source: RNAcentral